Molecule: ribosomal RNA, 497 nt
Filed under: uncultured bacterium
Lineage: Bacteria
Description: partial 16S ribosomal RNA
Rfam family: Bacterial small subunit ribosomal RNA
Source: RNAcentral
GAUGAACGCUGGCGGCGUGCCUAAUACAUGCAAGUCGAGCGAACAGACGAGGAGCUUGCUCCUCUGACGUUAGCGGCGGACGGGUGAGUAACACGUGGAUAACCUACCUAUAAGACUGGGAUAACUUCGGGAAACCGGAGCUAAUACCGGAUAAUAUAUUGAACCGCAUGGUUCAAUAGUGAAAGACGGUUUUGCUGUCACUUAUAGAUGGAUCCGCGCCGCAUUAGCUAGUUGGUAAGGUAACGGCUUACCAAGGCAACGAUGCGUAGCCGACCUGAGAGGGUGAGCGGCCACACUGGAACUGAGACACGGUCCAGACUCCUACGGGAGGCAGCAGUAGGGAAUCUUCCGCAAUGGGCGAAAGCCUGACGGAGCAACGCCGCGUGAGUGAUGAAGGUCUUCGGAUCGUAAAACUCUGUUAUUAGGGAAGAACAAAUGUGUAAGUAACUAUGCACGUCUUGACGGUACCUUAUCAGAAAGCCACGGCUAACUACGUG